Molecule: long non-coding RNA, 1748 nt
Filed under: Hordeum vulgare
Lineage: Eukaryota; Viridiplantae; Streptophyta; Magnoliopsida; Poales; Poaceae
Description: long non-coding RNA (HVUL_LNC007930)
Source: RNAcentral
CUCUAGAUCGUAGUUCUUCCUCUAGAUCAGUUUUCAGCAGUGCAUAUGCGAAGCCCUGCUAGAAUAAUUCCACCACCACCACCACCACGUCGUUGUGCUGGAGAACUCAUCUAUCUCUCCGCCCCUCUUGCUGGAUCAAGAAGGCGGUGAUCCUCAUCGAGUUGUACGUGUGCUUAACGCGGAGGUGCCGUCCGUUCGACACUAGAUCGGGAUAGAUCGUGAUGGAAUCGUAGGACGGAUCGUGAUGAGAUCGCGGGACGGGAUGCGAUUUGGAUCGCGAAGAUGUUCCACUACAUCAACCGCAUUAUAUACGCUUCCGCUUAGGGAUCUACAAGGGUAUGUAGAUUCACUCUCCCCUCUCGUAGAUGAUCAUCACCAUGGAUAGGUACUGCAUGUGCGUAGGAAUUUUUUUGUUUCCCAUGCAACAUUUCUCAACAAUCACUACUACUAAACAAGGACCAUCAUUAGUAAUACUAAAUGACUAAAUAGUGACCAUCAUCGGUACUACUAAAUAAUGACCAUCAUGAGUACUACUAAAUGACUAAAUAGGGGCUACACUAACUGACUAAACAGAGGCUACACUAAAUGACUAAGGCCCUGUUUGGAACCAUAAUAGAUUAUGAUAAUUUAGAUUAUGAAGAUAGAUUAUAUAAUCUGGUUUAUAAAAAAAUCUAGGUGGACAUGUUUGGAGGCCAAAUUAUAUAAACUGUAAUCCAAGUUUUACAUUGCAUAAUGACCUGUCCGCCCUCUGUUUUUUUUUAAAAGGAGGGUGACGGUGGUAGGCAUGUAAUUAUCUCCAACUUUACAAGGGUAAUGGGUCAUUAGCAAUCCAUAAUCUAAUUUUAGCUGGUAUAGAGUAGAUUAUGAGUUUUUAAUAAUCUAUCCAUCUAGUUUUCAUAAUCUACACCAUAAGCUGUCAUGUUUGGAGACAGAAUAAAUUAUAAAAACUGGAUUAUAUAAUCUGAAUGGUUCCAAACAGGGCCUAAGCAAAUGCCUAUAAAAGUUACUACCAAUUUUAAUACAAAUAACAAAAUAUGUGCAUCAUUCUUACAGGCCGAACACAAACUAGAAACCUCUUGCCGUCUCAAAUCCUUCAAAUGCUACACGACAGUGAGCUGGCAGCCGAUGCCCCACACAAAGAUCCCGAGAUCCCGUCUCGAUGCCCAUGUAGUCUUGGUCUUUAAUGCUAGCAGGAAUCUACAGGACCAAGAUAAACCAAAAACGCCAAAUCAAAAAACCAAAUCCCCAAAUCCCUCAAUCAGAAACCCUAACCCUAGCUCUACCACUUACCUGGUACUGCAUGUCAUCGGAGGAGGAGCCGAUGUCCUGCAGGCUCGAGAAGUCAUCGCUGCUCUCAUCCUUGAACUGCGUUGCGAGCGGCGGCGAUUGGGAGAGACGAGGGCGAGGCAGCGAAACAAGGGAGAGUGCGGCGGGUGGCUCGGUCUGACCCGGCCCAACCAGUUAGAACGACGGAGUUGGCUUCCUCCUAGUCAAUGGAGCGGGAUGUGCGGGUAGGCCAAUGUGUCACCUAUCACGUGGAGCUGCUCGGCAAGAUACACAAUCAAUGCUUAGAGUUGGCACCGACUUGCAAAACUAUGACCAUUUGUAUCAAUUCAUUACGACAUGCCGAAGUGUGGUACGACAUGCCGAAGUGUGCCGCGUCGAGCGUAGAAGCUCCCGUAGAAACCAUUAUUGGAGCAGGUGUUGUUCUGCCAUAUGUGUCGCCUGGCUAGAGGACACAACGGGCG